GGAGAGGUGGGUGAGUGGCUUAAACCAGUAGUUUGCUAAACUGCCGAAGACCUAAAGUUUUCCGGGGGUUCGAAUCCCCCCCUCUCCG
RNAcentral lists this transfer RNA (88 nucleotides) under Hymenobacter metallilatus. RNAcentral's name for it is "Hymenobacter sp. 9PBR-2 tRNA-Ser". It matches the Rfam family "tRNA". Rfam says of the family: Transfer RNA (tRNA) molecules are approximately 80 nucleotides in length. Their secondary structure includes four short double-helical elements and three loops (D, anti-codon, and T loops). The record is from RNAcentral. Lineage: Bacteria; Pseudomonadati; Bacteroidota; Cytophagia; Cytophagales; Hymenobacteraceae. RNAcentral also lists the same sequence under 1 other name.